CCCUCCUGUUUGUUUUGAUAUCUUGAAUUAGAUAGUAUUGGCCAAUGCGUCUACCCAUUGAGCAACCUGGCGUGAGUGGGAGCUAGGGCGUGUUUUGAUGAUGUUUGUGUAAGACAUGAAUGCCGUUUUUUCCUUUGCCCAAUGUUGUUGGAGGAGACGGGUCGUGGGGGCGGUUUGUAUGCGUCCGUUGGGCGGCUCGUAUAGGCAAGCACGACACCGGCGUAUUGAUGCAGACCGGACCGCGGGGGCGGUGUCUUGCGCGUGUGUGUUUAGCGGAUCGUAUAGGCGAGCACUUCACCAAUAUGUUGAUGUAGACCUGACCGCGGGGCGGUGUCCUACGCACGUCUGUUGGGCGGCUCAUAUAGGCGAGCAAUGCACCCACAUGUUGAUGUAGCCUGGACCGUAGGGGCGGCGUCUUGCGUGUGUUCCUUGGGCGGUUCGUAUAGGCGAGCACUACACCGGUAUGUUGAUGUAGACUGGACUGCAGGGGCGGCGUCUUGCGCGCGUCUAUUGGGCGGCUCGUAUAGGCGAGCACGACACUGGUAUGUUGAUGUAGACCGGACCAUGGGGACAGUGGCUUGCGCGCAUUCGUUGGGCAGCUCGUAUAAGCGAGCACUGCACCGGUAUGUUGAUGUAGACCUCGACCAUGGGGACGGCGCCUUGCGCGUGUCCGUAGGG
Molecule: long non-coding RNA, 678 nt
Filed under: Hordeum vulgare
Lineage: Eukaryota; Viridiplantae; Streptophyta; Magnoliopsida; Poales; Poaceae
Description: long non-coding RNA (HVUL_LNC011990)
Source: RNAcentral